This 300-nucleotide long non-coding RNA is filed under the name Capsicum annuum. RNAcentral's name for it is "long non-coding RNA (CANN_LNC000094)". The record is from RNAcentral. Lineage: Eukaryota; Viridiplantae; Streptophyta; Magnoliopsida; Solanales; Solanaceae.
AAAACACGCCAUUCCCUUCUUUCUUCUCAACCAACACACAAUAACAACACACACCUCUCCAUUUUCAUGAAAAAAACCUCACAUUUCAUUCUUCCAUUCUUAAAGAACAACACAGCAACACUAGACCCACUUCACCAUUGGCACACAAUCUUAAUUCUCACAUUGACACUCACACUACAAUCAUCAAUACAUACAGAGAAACUUCACAUACACCUGAGAAGACACCCGUCAUUGCACUACCAUACACGCAUAUACAGUGAGAUCGAGAACGGAGAAGAGAGAAAAACAGAGGGAGUGGCA